RNAcentral lists this long non-coding RNA (835 nucleotides) under Mus musculus (house mouse). RNAcentral's name for it is "predicted gene, 49035". The record is from RNAcentral. Lineage: Eukaryota; Metazoa; Chordata; Mammalia; Rodentia; Muridae.
CUUUUUCUUGCUUUCUUGCUCUCUCUUGCACUCUUGCUCUCUUGCUCUCUGGCUCCUGAAGAUGUAAGCAAUAAAGCUUUGCCGCAGAAGAUUCCGGUUUGUUGCGUUCUUCCUGGCCGGUCGCGUGAACGCGGGUAAGAGUUGGUGCCGAAACGCAGGGAAGGCUGUGACAGGAUCCUGUCUGUGGAAGCUGGAGGAGGCUUGCUCACAACUUUGCAGAGCAUGAAGCCAGGAGAGACGAAGAGAGGCAGUGACGACUCUUCCUUCCCCUUCUUGAUGAGUCCCAGAUCCCAGGUCAUCAGUUGGUGCCCUCGACAUUCAAGGUGGAAGCUGAGUCACCCAAGUUGUCCGUGAGUGUUUGGCACUCUUUUGAGGUCUGUCCCACUCAUCCUGUUUCCAUCUGAAGAAAUGAAGCUGGUGACAGAUAUAGGCAGGUCUGAGAGAUGACAGAGUAGAAUGCAUCUUCUCAUGGAGUUCAAUGUCUCUCCCUGCCAGAGUAUGCCAUAAAAGCUGAGAGUCCUUCUCAGAGUUAAGCUGUGAAGACUCUCAGACAAGCCAAGCUGCAAAGAAGACUGAGACAAGACCAGCUGCCUGGGAGAAGGAGAAACCAAACUUCCUGGAAGAGGUUUAGGCCAACUUAGGCACCUGGAAAGAACUCCCUCCAACCAAUUGAGAUGCUUAUAGGCUGUGUAGUAAGCUGUAUGGUGUGCUCCAGGUUCCCAGCUUUGUGAGCUGUCACCUGUGCUGGGGUGGGCUUUGGUGAUGUAGCUGUCCUUGAGUCACUUCUACUUGUCCAUCUUCCUGUAAGUAACCCCAAUAAAACUCAUGGUUCACC